This 1343-nucleotide ribosomal RNA is filed under the name uncultured bacterium. Its description in RNAcentral is "16S ribosomal RNA". It matches the Rfam family "Bacterial small subunit ribosomal RNA", at positions 28 to 1378 of the family's 1533-position model. The record is from RNAcentral.
GACGAACGCUGGCGGCGUGCUUAACACAUGCAAGUCGAACGGAAAGGCCCUGCUUUUGUGGGGUGCUCGAGUGGCGAACGGGUGAGUAACACGUGAGUAACCUGCCCUUGACUUUGGGAUAACUUCAGGAAACUGGGGCUAAUACCGGAUAGGAGCUCCUGCUGCAUGGUGGGGGUUGGAAAGUUUCGGCGGUUGGGGAUGGACUCGCGGCUUAUCAGCUUGUUGGUGGGGUAGUGGCUUACCAAGGCUUUGACGGGUAGCCGGCCUGAGAGGGUGACCGGCCACAUUGGGACUGAGAUACGGCCCAGACUCCUACGGGAGGCAGCAGUGGGGAAUAUUGCACAAUGGGCGGAAGCCUGAUGCAGCAACGCCGCGUGCGGGAUGACGGCCUUCGGGUUGUAAACCGCUUUCGCCUGUGACGAAGCGUGAGUGACGGUAAUGGGUAAAGAAGCGCCGGCUAACUACGUGCCAGCAGCCGCGGUGAUACGUAGGGUGCGAGCGUUGUCCGGAUUUAUUGGGCGUAAAGGGCUCGUAGGUGGUUGAUCGCGUCGGAAGUGUAAUCUUGGGGCUUAACCCUGAGCGUGCUUUCGAUACGGGUUGACUUGAGGAAGGUAGGGGAGAAUGGAAUUCCUGGUGGAGCGGUGGAAUGCGCAGAUAUCAGGAGGAACACCAGUGGCGAAGGCGGUUCUCUGGGCCUUUCCUGACGCUGAGGAGCGAAAGCGUGGGGAGCGAACAGGCUUAGAUACCCUGGUAGUCCACGCUGUAAACGGUGGGUACUAGGUGUGGGGUCCAUUCCACGGGUUCCGUGCCGUAGCUAACGCUUUAAGUACCCCGCCUGGGGAGUACGGCCGCAAGGCUAAAACUCAAAGGAAUUGACGGGGCCCCGCACAAGCGGCGGAGCAUGCGGAUUAAUUCGAUGCAACGCGUAGAACCUUACCUGGGUUUGACAUGGAUCGGAAGUGCUCAGAGAUGGGUGUGCCUCUUUUGGGGUCGGUUCACAGGUGGUGCAUGGCUGUCGUCAGCUCGUGUCGUGAGAUGUUGGGUUAAGUCCCGCAACGAGCGCAACCCUUGUUCACUGUUGCCAGCACGUUAUGGUGGGGACUCAGUGGAGACCGCCGGGGUCAACUCGGAGGAAGGUGGGGAUGACGUCAAGUCAUCAUGCCCCUUAUGUCCAGGGCUUCACGCAUGCUACAAUGGCUGGUACAGAGAGUGGCGAGCCUGUGAGGGUGAGCGAAUCUCGGAAAGCCGGUCUCAGUUCGGAUUGGGGUCUGCAACUCGACCUCAUGAAGUCGGAGUCGCUAGUAAUCGCAGAUCAGCAACGCUGCGGUGAAUACGUUCCCGGG